AGUGGAUGGAAGAGAUGGUGGUGAUGCGAACUUGUUCAUACCAUCUUGGCUGCGCCAAACAUGCCCAUCUUAAUGAGCUUACUUCUGCAUUUUGGUUGAUGGCCUUGGAGUAAAGCAAAUACAUGGAUUUCUUUCUGAAGACUUUUAUUCAAAGAAAAACUAGGAUCAGUGAGUUCUUGCUA
Non-coding RNA from Coffea arabica (coffee), 182 nucleotides. NCBI's taxonomy places the organism in Eukaryota, Viridiplantae, Streptophyta, Magnoliopsida, Gentianales, Rubiaceae. The record is from RefSeq and is a predicted model, not a curated record.